RNAcentral lists this ribosomal RNA (427 nucleotides) under uncultured bacterium. RNAcentral describes it as "partial 16S ribosomal RNA". It matches the Rfam family "Bacterial small subunit ribosomal RNA", at positions 355 to 774 of the family's 1533-position model. The record is from RNAcentral.
UGGGGAAUAUUGGACAAUGGGCGAAAGCCUGAUCCAGCCAUGCCGCGUGUGUGAAGAAGGUCUUCGGAUUGUAAAGCACUUUAAGUUGGGAGGAAGGGCAUUAACCUAAUACGUUAGUGUUUUGACGUUACCGACAGAAUAAGCACCGGCUAACUCUGUGCCAGCAGCCGCGGUAAUACAGAGGGUGCAAGCGUUAAUCGGAAUUACUGGGCGUAAAGCGCGCGUAGGUGGUUUGUUAAGUUGGAUGUGAAAUCCCCGGGCUCAACCUGGGAACUGCAUUCAAAACUGACUGACUAGAGUAUGGUAGAGGGUGGUGGAAUUUCCUGUGUAGCGGUGAAAUGCGUAGAUAUAGGAAGGAACACCAGUGGGGAAGGCGACCACCUGGACUAAUACUGACACUGAGGUGCGAAAGCGUGGGGAGCAAACA